This is an RNA transcript of Dromaius novaehollandiae (emu), 5916 nucleotides long. It is a transcript of the gene named bradykinin receptor B1, with no coding region annotated. The transcript is spliced from 3 exons. NCBI's taxonomy places the organism in Eukaryota, Metazoa, Chordata, Aves, Casuariiformes, Dromaiidae. The record is from RefSeq and is a predicted model, not a curated record.
UGAAAUAUUUCACAUGCUUUGGAAAUUACUACAGCUGACGUUUGGAAAAGUAAGGAAAAAAAAAAAAAGAAACACUGCCGUGGGGCUUUCUUCCAAAAUAUAACAUCAUGCAUGGCCAAGAAAACACUCAGACAGCACUCAGAAAGCUGUGCCUCAGGCUGCAUCUUUGAAUUCCAUCGUUAACUACUGUCUUGCUAUUUACCAGCUGUUUCUGAAUUUGAAGUUUCACCUAAACUAUCAGGAAGGACAAAGAAUAGCACAGAAGGAUGCCUGACAAACAGUAGAACCUCCCCUUGGUCACUGGCAAAGAGGAGUCAAGCCAGCUUCCCUAGAGAAGAAUAAGGCAGGCCAGUGUAAUAGAGGCACUGCUGCAGAAAAAUAGAAAUGUACUGGAAGAGCCAAAAUUAUUUGUGAGAUGAAGUUGAGAUGUUCCAGAGUUUUGUCUCCUUCUGUCCUCAGACAUUUGGAUGUGAAGGGCUGCAAAGCAAUACUGGGCUGGCUAAACACAGAAAUCUGUGACUGCGAGAAAACUGCUUUGUGUAGCAUCAUCAAAUAUAUACCCAGGCAAACUUUCUUCUUCUCAGGGCUAUGAGAGAAAAGGAAUACCCUCUUUUGUUUGGCAGGUACUUCCCAGCUGUUAAAUAAUAACCCAGCACCAUCAGGCAACCACCUGUAAUGGCAGAGGCUGCCUUUGCCCUAUAAGCGGAAGAGACCAUUAACAACGGCAGAAAAUUAUUAACGUGACAAACUGAAUAGCAGGUGUAUGUGAACAUAUGUAGGGUGUCAUUUGCCAAAGGUAGCAAAAUCCCUACAGCCAGUCCUGGGGACCCUCCUCAUAACUUGACAAUGAAGGAGUGAGAGAAGUAAAUUCAAACUAAUGGGAAAACACCUACUAGAAGCAAGCUUCAGGAAAGGGACUUCUAGCUGUGUAUCCUAGAACUGAAAUUUUCACCUCCUAAACUUCAGGACAAUUCUUUGCUGAAUUGCCACUGCAGAUCAAGAGUAACAUUACAGGUGCUCAGUAAGGCAAUAGAGACACACACACUUUCUUUGCACCAAGGUUUAGUAUCUUUUCUUAGGCCUCUACAGUACAUUCACUUUAGUAGCCCAAGGGGACAGGUUAGUGGCCUAACUACCAAUUUUGCAAACAGUAUCUCAACUCCCCAGAACCACAGAGCAGCAGCUCAGAGCCCAACAGUACCUACAUGGCCCUUUGGUCUUCAGCAACAGCUGUACUACUUAAAUCCAGCUUACAAUGGAGGCUUCCUUCCAGUAGCACGGUCAAAGAUACUCAGAUGACUAGGGCACAGGUGUGGAGUUUUUUGAGAGACAGUUUCAGUUCUCGCCUCUGCUACAGACUUUUUUUAAUGUUGGAGAAACCCUUAGUUUCCAUAAUUAUUUCCAAAAUAGCCUUGCUAAACUGGACAUCUGAGUGCUCUGAUUUCCAGAGGCACCUGCACUUCUCAGGUGUCAAUAAUUCAUGUUACCUGCUCAAGGCACACUGCAUUCAGGCUGCUUAGAAAACCCAUUUGCCCUGGGAAUCAGCAGUGUCAGAAAGAAUCCAAGGAGCCUGAAAGAAAUAAUAACUGGCAGAAAAGAAGGCCAAGCCCUCACUGUAAGGGCAGGUGGGAUGGAUGGAAACCUAGGAUCUAACUACAGAUGUGUGUGUUGUGUGCUGCUGUAAGCUCUGUGUACCGCCUCGGUUAGCCUCUAAGGGUAUCAGCAAGGUCACCCCAGAGGUGGCUCCUAACCCAGCCAGUAUACUUUGGUUUUGAGGCUGCCGUGAGCAGCACCAUACACAACAGUGUCAAUGCAGCGUGUUAUUUUCAGUUCACCAUCAAUACAAUGAGGCUUACAAAUUUCACAGGAGUCUUACGACACCUAAAAAUAAAAUAGGCAUAUGAUAUUCAGAUGCUGCAAUAACAGAGUUAUCAAGUACUUCAUAUAGACUAUAAAAGCCAAGAUCCUACCUAUUAUAUACGGGCAUAUAGGACUUGCUCUAACUGUGUAGCCUUUGGCCAAGGUUUCCCCACAACACGUUUUGCUGUUUUGCUGAUGCCUCUUCAGAAGUGGCUGUAUUUGUAUUGUUUUCCUUCCCAUGCACUGGAUGCAAAGCAUUUAUAGGUUUGCAUUUAUUAGUAAGAUAUUAGCCAAAUAAUAGAAGCAUCCAUAGGUUUUACUGUGAACAUAAUCAUUUACUUGGAACAGCAGGUCACAAAACUAGUUACUUUAAAACUAAAAUCUUGUCUCUAACCCUCCUGUCUUUCACUCUACUGUAGAGCAAAAGUCAAAUACCCUUCAAGUAUGCUGCACAUUAUCCAAAUAACAAGUACUCUGAACAGCACAUGGUUUCCCUGAAAAACUACACAGAAGUACCACUAACCAUUUUAAAAAGGGUAGUCAAUAUAGCAUGCGUGUAAACUAAGGGACUGGUUUCAGCAUAAUAAAAUUAGAUGUGUGAUUUUGGACCUGCACUGUUCUCCCUGCCUUACUCUGCUCCCUCCCAGCUCUAUUUCACUUCCAGGCAUUCUACACAGCCCAUCCUGUUUACUCUGAUGAAACGUGAAGGGUCUGGAAGAGUUAUUUUCGGAUACUGUCUCAGGCUUUUGGGAUAUUGAUGUGAAACAUAGCUCCUUCAUGCACUGGGUUGUUUGUCUAUUCUUUUUCAAAUUAUAACUGUCCAAUUUAAUAUCAGUAGAGUGACCAUGUCCCCUCAUUUUAGUGAAGCAGUUCCUUUUACGGUUCAGUAUAUUCUGCUCUCAUGCAUGGGACAACACUGCAUCAGAUCAUGUCGUGGGAGACGUACUGGUCACUGGUGGCAGUGGCUGGCAGUGGUAGAUGAUGGCAGAGCUUUAUGCCUUUCGGCAGGGCUCCUCAAUCCAGCCGCACAACCUUUCUCUUAGCUCGUAAUCAGGAGCGUUGUGCACAGCCAGCCAUGUUUGGCAUGUGACAGCCCAGAGCAGGAGAGACCCUGCAACUCUGCAGUAAGGUACCAGUCUAGUGGCAGAGAGCUGGGAGCCAGGAGCCACCUGUACAAGAAAAUGUCACAGAUUGGCCAAGCCAUCUUUCUUCUGGAAACAUGAGAAGCAUCUUUCUCCCAGAAUGACUUCUUUCUGUCAGAAAAGUCAACUAGGAAAUAUCUUUGUUUGCCCAAGGUUAUUGCUAUAUGAAGUGACAUUUUCUGUACAUCUAUUAGGAAGAAACAAGAGAGCAAGAUGCAUGCAGUGCUCUGAACUUUAUCUGGUAUGAGGAAAAAAGUUUAACAGCACGGACACUAUGAGUCCCACUUAGAGUAAGGUUAAUAACAUUUACUAAACGUUAGUGACAAAUUUACUCCAUAACAGUAGGUUACUGUCAUCUAUGUCGAGAGACAGGAAUGUGUGUUGUCAGAAGCCGCCAGCAAAAACAACAGUUUGAGUUACAAAAAGAGCAGUAGAAGUAUUCAGCAGUUAGAAUGUCUUAGUCACUCUAACUGAAGUAAUUUUUAUACUGCCAUGAAAGGUUUUAGUGUAACAAUUUUUAAAUAUAGACACAUCUUCCAAGUGUUUUAGAAAUUCUUAUUUCAAGGAAAACAGUUAUCAGAUUGCAUAUAGGGCAAAUGGAACAAUAAGCAGUUCUAAUUAAUAUUCAGACACUUCUGGGGCCAUCACAUAGGCAUGUGUGGCUUAUUUAUAAAUACAUACAUACAAGGUAAUAGAUCCUUCUCUUUGAUCCAGAGAACAAAAACAUCAGUUUCACAGAAUCAUCAUUCCUAAACUGUUUUAUUUUGAUUUGUUACUGAGUUGCAUGCUAUACCUUAAUAAUGCAUGCUAUGAAGAGCCAAAUAAUUGCUUUCCUUUUCCUUCCUCUUAUUUGUACAAUUUUAAAUAUUAUUAACGUGAAAGGUUAUUUUUGAGAGAUACUUUUUGUAUUCAGCUCAUCCAAAUAAAUUAUUCAGUUCUAUACUUAUUUAGGGGAUAGAACAAGCUAUGGCAUGAGGAAAACUCCUCUGGCACAGCAAGGAAAUCACAUGAUCAGCUACAUCCAGAAAUAAAGCCAUGAUAAAGAUAUAGAACAUAUUAAUGAAAUUUUUCAUCAUAUGCUCCUAAUUUUACACAGGUAAUCCAAAAGUUGCAUAUGCUGUAAGCAAAGCACCUAGAAAGGUCAGAUUUAUUGCUUGCAAAAAAGGUGACAGAGAUCAAAAUUGUGCAGUUCAGUGUUUGAGAAACAAUAUGUAUAUCAUGGAAGGGAAGGCUGUGCCAGCUAAGUGAGUUUUAGCUUGGCUGUUGUUGGUGGGAAAAUCACUCAUGUCAACGUAGGCUGCUCCAUCUAACACUAGGCCAACCACUGUCUCUUUUGUGAAGACACUAACAAAAUAAAUGACAAGAGUCAGAAAACUAGAGACAGCUUCUCUUUUCAAUCUGGGCACUGUAAGAGAGGGAAGGAAAAAGACUGUGUGACCAUAAUUAUAGAGAGUCAUGUAAUUAAAAAUGACCAUCACAUCACAAACACAUUAAGGGAGGUAAACAAAGGUUGCACAGGCAAUGGAGGUUGUUGCAUUUGCUUACGUUGUACCAUCUGAUUUUGCAGUGUUAAUUGCAUUAUUUUACUAUAUAUAGUUUCUGUAAGUAUAUAUAUAAACACGGAGCUAAGACUAUGAUGCCUUUUAGUGAUUCUUUAAUUAUCCAUUUCUUCUUCUAAAAGAAUAUGGAGCGAAACUACAGUGCCAUUUUAGACAUAUUUUCUAAUUCAUGAAGUUUUAGAUACAUCAAAUUACUGUUUGUAAUAAUCUAGCACAUUAAUUCUUCCUCCCUCCACAUAUACACUACAGUAAAGAUACAACAUUUCUCUUCUAGCAGGUUUGCUUGCUGUAAUUUCUAAUGUUACUGACUGCAAUUACUGUCUGAUACUGAGUUAUACAAAGAUUUAUUGGUUUGAUUAGAGUUGUGUGAACUCUGUUUCUAGAGGGGCAUUUUAUUUGAAAAAUACAUCUGUUUUUUGCUGAUCAAAUAUCUGUAGACUGAACACACUUUAAGUGCUCACUGUUUGAAUUUAUCUAGCAAAUGAUUCAUAUUGCAGCAUACUAAAGAACAAUUAGCCCUACAAUCUCGCUACAAAUGGUUUCAGUUGAUAAUUUUCGCUGUUUGCCAAAGCCCAAUCCAAGACCCUUAUUUGCUUUUAUCCUCUAUGACCAAGGAAACCCUCUGACAUCCUAAGAACAUCCUCACACACACUUCUGAUGGGAACAACCCCCUCCCAGGAGCACUCAGGACUCUUCUUUAUUUUGCAGACAAAGUUUUGCUGCCAAAAAUAUUUAUGAGAAGGGGAUACAGCAAAGAAAAAGUGACUCCUUUGCUCCCCACAAGACAGAGCUUUCUUGGAUUAGCAGGAGUCCCUGAAGUUGCUCUGCCUCCAUGGCUCAAUCGGACGCUCUUGGCAAGUUUCUUCUGCCUGGCCUCCUUGAAAGAACAGUGCUCUUUUCUAUCCUCCGUGGAUCUACGGGCACGGAGAUUAAUUCAGAGCUUUUAUUCAAAGUCAAUUACUGCAGCAGCACAUAUCUAGCUGGGGGAGACCUCCCCUAUGCACUACUAAGAAAAAUACGCACACAGCACUGCAUUGCAUCCCAAAGCGCCCACAGCAUGGUUUUACCAGCAGCUGUCAUCCUGAGCUAUUAAAUUAUUUACAUUUGUUAGGGAGUUUUGUUCAGAUGCAUCUCUCUUCUGCUUCAAGAAUAGGCCAAAUCUCAUGUUCUGCUUGCUGCUAUAUACAGUUUACAGUGCUGUUUGCAAAGUAUGUCUCAGAAAGACUAAAGAUGUUUACAGUGCUUCAUACACAUUUGGACACAACAUUUUUGUGAUAUUCAUAUCUAGCAUUCAGAUCAUCGGAUCGCAUGGCCUUCUCUGAGCAGAAAAAGAGAAAUAAUUGCUAGUGAAAAUG